GAUCCUGGCUCAGGAUGAACGCUAGCUACAGGCUUAACACAUGCAAGUCGAGGGGAAACGAUUAUUGGAAGCUUGCUUCCGAUAGGCGUCGACCGGCGCACGGGUGAGUAACGCGUAUCCAACCUGCCCAUGGCUUGGGGAUAACCUUGCGAAAGCAAGCCUAAUACCCGAUACGCUUCAUAGACGGCAUCUGAAAUGAAGUAAAGGUUUACGGUUAUGGAUGGGGAUGCGUCCGAUUAGCUUGUUGGCGGGGUAACGGCCCACCAAGGCAUCGAUCGGUAGGGGUUCUGAGAGGAAGGUCCCCCACAUUGGAACUGAGACACGGUCCAAACUCCUACGGGAGGCAGCAGUGAGGAAUAUUGGUCAAUGGAGGCAACUCUGAACCAGCCAAGUAGCGUGCAGGAUGACGGCCCUAUGGGUUGUAAACUGCUUUUAUGCGGGGAUAAACUGACUCACGUGUGGGUCAUUGCAGGUACCGCAUGAAUAAGGACCGGCUAAUUCCGUG
This 505-nucleotide ribosomal RNA is filed under the name uncultured bacterium. RNAcentral describes it as "bacterial SSU rRNA". It matches the Rfam family "Bacterial small subunit ribosomal RNA", at positions 15 to 507 of the family's 1533-position model. The record is from RNAcentral.